CCUACGGGAGACAGCAGUGGGGAAUAUUGCACAAUGGGGGAAACCCUGAUGCAGCGACGCCGCGUGAGUGAAGAAGUAUUUCGGUACGUAAAGCUCUAUCAGCAGGGAAGAAAAUGACGGUACCUGACUAAGAAGCCCCGGCUAACUACGUGCCAGCAGCCGCGGUAAUACGUAGGGGGCAAGCGUUAUCCGGAUUUACUGGGUGUAAAGGGAGCGUAGACGGCAGCGCAAGUCUGGGGUGAAAUCCCAUGGCUUAACCAUGGAACUGCUUUGGAAACUGUGCAGCUAGAGUGCAGGAGAGGUAAGCGGAAUUCCUAGUGUAGCGGUGAAAUGCGUAGAUAUUAGGAGGAACACCAGUGGCGAAGGCGGCUUACUGGACUGUAACUGACGUUGAGGCUCGAAAGCGUGGGGAGCAAACAGGAUUAGAUACCCGGGUAGUC
Molecule: ribosomal RNA, 440 nt
Filed under: uncultured bacterium
Lineage: Bacteria
Description: partial 16S ribosomal RNA
Rfam family: Bacterial small subunit ribosomal RNA
Source: RNAcentral